This 494-nucleotide ribosomal RNA is filed under the name uncultured bacterium. Its description in RNAcentral is "partial 16S ribosomal RNA". It matches the Rfam family "Bacterial small subunit ribosomal RNA", at positions 28 to 507 of the family's 1533-position model. The record is from RNAcentral.
GACGAACGCUGGCGGCGUGCUUAACACAUGCAAGUCGAACGGAAAGGCCUGCUUUCCCUUGUGGAUUGCGGGUACUCGAGUGGCGAACGGGUGAGUAACACGUGAGUGAUCUGCCCCCAACUUGGGUAUAAGCCUGGGAAACUGGGUCUAAUUCCCGAUAGGACUGCAGGGUGGUGCCUGUGGUGGAAAACGAUUUUCUAGUGGUUGGGGAUGAGCUCGCGGCCUAUCAGCUUGUUGGUGGGGUAAUGGCCUACCAAGGCGGCGACGGGGAGCCGGCCUGGGAGGGUGGACGGCCACAUUGGGACUGGGAUACGGCCCAGACUCCUACGGGAGGCAGCAGUGGGGAAUAUUGCACAAUGGGCGGAAGCCUGAUGCAGCGACGCCGCGUGGGGGAUGACGGCCUUCGGGUUGUAAACUCCUUUCGACCGCGAGGAAGCCACCUGGUUGGAAGGGUGGUGACGGUAGUGGUAGAAGAAGCACCGGCUAACUACGUG